Oryctolagus cuniculus (rabbit) is the source of this 945-nucleotide non-coding RNA. The record is from RefSeq and is a predicted model, not a curated record. Lineage: Eukaryota; Metazoa; Chordata; Mammalia; Lagomorpha; Leporidae.
UAAUCCCAGUGAGAGUCAAGUUGGGAAUUGAUAAUUUCUUCUUUUUUUUUUUUUUUUUUUUUUUACAGAAGAUAAGUUUAGUAUACAUUAAGUAAAGCUUUCAACAGUUUGCACCCCCAUAGAAACACAAAGUGAAAUAUACUGUUUGAGUACUCAUUAUAGCAUUAAGUCUCAAUGUACAGCACAUUAAGGACAGAGAUCCUACAUGAGGAGUAAGUGCACAGUGACUCCUGUUGUUGACUUUACAAAUUGACACUCCUGUUUAUGGCAUCAGUAAUCUCCCUAUGCACCAGUCAUGAGUUUCCAAGGCUAUGGAAGCCUUUUGAGUUCUCCGACUCUUAUCUUGUUUAGACAAGGUCAUAUUCAAAGUGGAGGUUCUCUCCUCCCUUCAGAGAAAGGUACCUCCUUCUUUGAUGACCUGUUCUUUCCACUGGGAUCUCACUCGCAGAGAUCUUUUGCCAGAGUGUCUUGGCUUUCCAUGCCUGAAAUACUCUCAUGAGCUUUUCAGCCAGCUCCGAAUGCCUUUAGGGCUGAUUCUGAGGCCAGAGUGCUAUUUAGGACAUCUGCCAUUCUAUGAGUCUGCUGAGUAUCUCACUUCCCAUGUUGGAUCACUCUCCCCUUUAUUUACUCCAUCGGUUAGCGUUAGCAGGUACUAGACUUGUCUAUGUGCUCCCUUUGACUCCCAGUCCCUCCACCAUGACCAACUGUGAACUGAAACUGAUCACCUGGAACAGUGAGAUGGCAUUGGUACAUGCCACCUCGAUGGGAUUGAAUUGGAAUCCCCUGGUAUGCUUCCAACUCCACCACUUGGGGCAAGUCAGCCUGAGCAUGUCCCAAAUUAUACAUCUCUUCCCUCUCCCAUUCCCACCACCAUGUUCAACAGGGAUCACAUUUCAGUUAAUUUUCAACACUUAAGAAUAACUGUGCAUCAAUUACAGAUCUAAA